GUGCUUGUUUAGGCAGCACAUACACUAAAAUUGGAGUGAUACAGAGAAGAUUAGCAUGGCCCCUGCGGGGGAAAAAGAUUACUCUUUGAUCCAAAGCAAUAAUUAUUU
Molecule: small nuclear RNA, 108 nt
Organism: Propithecus coquereli (Coquerel's sifaka)
Lineage: Eukaryota; Metazoa; Chordata; Mammalia; Primates; Indriidae
Source: Ensembl